GUUCAGCCCCACAAGGAGCUGCUGAACCUUUCCCAACUGGUUGCUCCCUCCAGGGAUAGGGGCUCCCCAUUGCCCUACAUUCUCAUCAGCAGUGAAGACUGUUCUGUUGGCUAGUUUCCCGAGACUUUUCAGUUCCCCAGAGUGAUCUGAAACCACACAUUCCUCUCUCCACGCUACUGUAGCACAGUGCUCAUCCGGUCGUACUGAAUCCUGUGAGAUGCCACCCCUCCUGUCUGCUGGCCAUUCUAAUUCCAUCCCCAUCUUUGGCACAAACUAAGAGCCAUCUUCUGGCUCCUGGUGGAGGAAGCUGCAGCAACUUUUGAUCUCUCUCCUUCUAUGGGGACUCUCCUUUGUGUUGCUGACCUUGAAGUCCCUCCGAGGAUCACAUGUUUGAGAUCUGCCAUCACGCCGUGUUCCUGCCGUCAGGAAAGAGAACGGGGCUGGAUGGGAAAUGCGCCCCACAGACUCAGGCGUUUGCACACCUGGUGGUACUGUUUUGGGAGGUUGUAGAACUUUGAAGAGGUGAGGCCUGGAUGACGG
Molecule: long non-coding RNA, 540 nt
Filed under: Cricetulus griseus (Chinese hamster)
Lineage: Eukaryota; Metazoa; Chordata; Mammalia; Rodentia; Cricetidae
Description: lncRNA (ENSCGRG00000025437.1)
Source: RNAcentral